This is a long non-coding RNA of Chenopodium quinoa (quinoa), 1398 nucleotides long. RefSeq lists it as uncharacterized. Lineage: Eukaryota; Viridiplantae; Streptophyta; Magnoliopsida; Caryophyllales; Amaranthaceae. The transcript has 3 exons. The record is from RefSeq and is a predicted model, not a curated record.
UUUUCAUGUUAAAACAUAAUUUUGGUAAAACUUUAUUGCAUUAUUUAACUAAGGGUGGAAAACAGUUAGUUUUCAACUAUGUCCAGGUGGUCGGUAAUAGAUAGAUACAUGUAGAGUUGCGUUGUAUGUUAUUUAUCUGUAUUAGUUUUCAGAAUUUUAGUUUUAUAUUCUGAGCUUCCUAGAUAAUAUAUACUAGAGAUGUAUGCUAUAAUAAUCAUACAAGAUUACAAUGUUUUAUAAAUUUUCACGUCUAUGCUAAUGAGGAUUUUUUUUUGCUGCCCUGCUGUGUCUACCCCCUGACUGUAUUUCCUGCUGUUGGCUGCUAUAAGGUGAACACAGACGCUGGUUGCUUCGGGGAUGACAGAAUUGGUUUGGGAGGUGUUAUGCAUGAUUGUAUGGGUGAAGUGAUGCCUGCUACCUACACAACUAUGAGAGGUAGUGGCAGUGUGGAUGUUGUGGAAGCACUUACAGCAAGGCACUAUCUCAAGAUAGCCCUUGAUGCUGAACUGGAUAUGAUCAAAGUUUUGUCUGAUAAUAUAUCAAUCUUUGCAUGCAUCUGAAGAAGAAGUAUAUGGAGUGUAAUCAGUUUGGAUUAAUUGUGAAGGAUAUCCUUGAAUUAGCUAAGUAUUGUUCCUCAUUUUCUGUUUCUCAUGUCGGUAUAUAUAUACUUGUAUAUAUUUUUGUUUAGACUUGGCACUUGUUUCACUAAGCUUUUUGGUUGUAUAGGUGCAAUAUAUGAGCAAACUUUGAGAUGAUGUUGUGGAAUGUUGUUUAAUUUUGGGUGUUAUAUGUUAAAGGGUGGCUAAAGGUUUGUCUCAGGACUCUAAAGUGCAGAAGUUAGUAUAUCAGCAUUGUAUUGGAGCUGUAUCAUUAUGGGAAUAACUUGCAUCUUAUGAUGAUGAGUGUUGUAAAGCAAAUUGUGGUCAACUAUUUUUAUUGGGAUUACUUAACUUUGAUGGUUUAGGCCCCAUUUCAUGGUGGGUAUAAUUCCCGAUUACUGAAACUGAUCAUCACAGCAAGAACCAAGCUUAAAAGUUGACAUAAUAACCAGGCCUGAUCAUCGAAGUCAUUCUAACAAUCAAGUCGCAACAAAGCUGCUGAACUUGGUUCCUUGGUGCAAUGUCCAGCUUGGUUACUCACUACUGCCACUAGCCUUCUUUGACACAUGAUGAAUAUACUCCUUGUACCUUCUGCAAGUGAGAAAGAGUUUCAAGAGUAUUGUUGAGAGAAACCGUAAGGAGGGAAAAGCAAGCUCAGCUCAUUGAACGUUUGCUAGCUCAUUGACAGAUGGCUGUGAAUCGGAGUAUUUCUUAAUUCAAGCUGCUGUUUUCCUAUUUUGUUUUGAAAGUUAACAGAAAAAAUGUAACUUUAUAUAUAUGUUAAUGUUUAUAUAUCAAU